This 427-nucleotide ribosomal RNA is filed under the name uncultured cyanobacterium. RNAcentral's name for it is "bacterial SSU rRNA". It matches the Rfam family "Bacterial small subunit ribosomal RNA", at positions 355 to 796 of the family's 1533-position model. Lineage: Bacteria; Bacillati; Cyanobacteriota. The record is from RNAcentral.
UGGGGAAUUUUCCGCAAUGGGCGAAAGCCUGACGGAGCAAUACCGCGUGAGGGAUGAAGGAUUUUGGUCUGUAAACCUCUUUUUUCAAGAAAGAAGUUCUGACGGUACUUGAGGAAUAAGCAUCGGCUAACUCCGUGCCGGCAGCCGCGGUGAUACGGGGGAUGCAAGCGUUAUCCGGAAUCAUUGGGCGUAAAGCGCCCGUAGGUUGUUUAAUAAGUCUGUUGUUAAAGACUGGGGCUUAACCCCAGGAAAGCAAUGGAAACUACUAGACUAGAGUAUGGUAGGGGUAAAGGGAAUUUCUAGUGUAGCGGUGAAAUGCGUAGAUAUUAGAAAGAACACCGGUGGCGAAAGCGCUUUACUGGACCAUUACUGACACUCAGAGGCGAAAGCUAGGGUAGCCAAAGGGAUUUAGAUACCCCUGUAGUCA